UCCCUGGCAGUCCAGUGGUUAAGACUCUGCACUCCCAAUGCAGGGGGCAUGGGUUUGAUCCCUAGUUGGGGAA
This 73-nucleotide transfer RNA is filed under the name Bos taurus (domestic cattle). It matches the Rfam family "tRNA". From Rfam's summary of the family: Transfer RNA (tRNA) molecules are approximately 80 nucleotides in length. Their secondary structure includes four short double-helical elements and three loops (D, anti-codon, and T loops). RNAcentral also lists the same sequence under 4 other names. The record is from Rfam by way of RNAcentral. Lineage: Eukaryota; Metazoa; Chordata; Mammalia; Artiodactyla; Bovidae.